This 388-nucleotide ribosomal RNA is filed under the name uncultured bacterium. RNAcentral's name for it is "bacterial SSU rRNA". It matches the Rfam family "Bacterial small subunit ribosomal RNA", at positions 28 to 416 of the family's 1533-position model. The record is from RNAcentral.
GACGGACGCUGGCGGCGUGCUUAACACAUGCAAGUCGAACGGUGACGAGGAGCUUGCUCCUCCGAUCAGUGGCGAACGGGUGAGUAACACGUGAGCAACCUGCCCCAGACUCUGGGAUAACAGUUGGAAACAGCUGCUAAUACCGGAUACGAGACGGAGAGGCAUCUCUACCGUCUGGAAAGUUUUUCGGUCUGGGAUGGACUCGCGGCCUAUCAGCUAGUUGGUGAGGUAAUGGCUCACCAAGGCGACGACGGGUAGCCGGCCUGAGAGGGCGACCGGCCACACUGGGACUGAGACACGGCCCAGACUCCUACGGGAGGCAGCAGUGGGGAAUAUUGCACAAUGGGCGAAAGCCUGAUGCAGCGACGCCGCGUGAGGGAUGACGGCC